AAUGAACGCUGGCGGCAGGCCUAACACAUGCAAGUCGAGCGGAGCGGCGGACGGGUGAGUAAUGCCUAGGAAGCUGCCUGGUAGUGGGGGAUAACGUCCGGAAACGGGCGCUAAUACCGCAUACAAUCAGUUGAGCCUAGGUCGGAUUAGCUUGUUGGUGGGGUAAAUGCCUAACAAGGCGACGAUCCGUACCUGGUCUGAGAGGAUGAUCAGUCGCACUGGAACUGAGACACGGUCAAUGCUCCUACGGGAGGCAGCAGGCGGGAACAUUGGACAAGAGUCGAAAGCCUGAUCCAGCCAUGCCGCGUGUGAGACGGAGGUCUUCGGAUUGUAAAGCCCGUUAAGUUGGGAGGCGUUACCAGCAGAAUAAGCACCGGCUAACUUCGUGCCAGCAGCCGCGGUAAUAC
RNAcentral lists this ribosomal RNA (407 nucleotides) under uncultured bacterium. Its description in RNAcentral is "partial 16S ribosomal RNA". It matches the Rfam family "Bacterial small subunit ribosomal RNA", at positions 29 to 526 of the family's 1533-position model. The record is from RNAcentral.